AACGAACGCUGGCGGCAUGCCUAACACAUGCAAGUCGAACGAGACCUUCGGGUCUAGUGGCGCACGGGUGCGUAACGCGUGGGAACCUGCCCUUAGGUUCGGAAUAACUCCCCGAAAGGGGUGCUAAUACCGGAUAAUGUCUUCGGACCAAAGAUUUAUCGCCUUUGGAUGGGCCCGCGUUGGAUUAGCUAGUUGGUAGGGUAAAAGCCUACCAAGCGACGAUCCAUAGCUGGUCUGAGAGGAUGAUCAGCCACACUGGGACUGAGACACGGCCCAGACUCCUACGGGAGGCAGCAGUGGGGAAUAUUGGACAAUGGGCGAAAGCCUGAUCCAGCAAUGCCGCGUGAGUGAUGAAGGCCUUAGGGUUGUAAAGCUCUUUUACCCGGGAUGAUAAUGACAGUACCGGGAGAAUAAGCGCCGGCUAACUCCGUG
RNAcentral lists this ribosomal RNA (432 nucleotides) under uncultured bacterium. RNAcentral's name for it is "partial 16S ribosomal RNA". It matches the Rfam family "Bacterial small subunit ribosomal RNA", at positions 29 to 507 of the family's 1533-position model. The record is from RNAcentral.